CUACGGGUUGCUCCAGUGAGGAAUAUUGCACAAUGGGGGGAACCCUGAUGCAGCAACGCCGCGUGGAGGAUGACGCAUUUCGGUGUGUAAACUCCUUUUAUAUGUCAAGAAAAUGACGGUAGCAUAUGAAUAAGCACCGGCUAACUCCGUGCCAGCAGCCGCGGUAAUACGGAGUGUGCAAGCGUUACUCGGAAUCACUGGGCGUAAAGGACGCGUAGGCGGGUUGGAAAGUCAGGUGUGAAAUCCUACAGCUUAACUGUAGAGCUGCACUUGAAACUUCUAAUCUAGAGUAUGGGAGGGGGAGAUGGAAUUAGUGGUGUAGGGGUAAAAUCCGUAGAUAUCACUAGGAAUACCUAAAGCGAAGGCGAUCUCCUGGAACAUUACUGACGCUAAGGCGUGAAAGCGUGGGGAGCAAACAGGAUUAGAUACCCCGGUAGUC
RNAcentral lists this ribosomal RNA (439 nucleotides) under uncultured bacterium. RNAcentral describes it as "partial 16S ribosomal RNA". It matches the Rfam family "Bacterial small subunit ribosomal RNA", at positions 339 to 795 of the family's 1533-position model. The record is from RNAcentral.